UUUUGAGUUAAUUUUUAUGUCCUGAGUCAUAUGUCCGGGCCACAAUGCAGACUGAGUAGGAGAGGAUUUAGAACCAGAACAUAGAGUGCACACAGGUCGCCAUAGACACAGAUGCGCAUCACACUUGGAGAAGUGACUUACCCUAUAACCUUGACUAUUCUCACCUGUAAAACAUGGAGUAUGAUUGUGUGUUAAUACUUUCAAUCUCAAAGGACUGUGACGACUGAGAGAAAGAGAAAUCAAUCCAAGAGCAACAAAAAUAAAUUUCAGACUAGAUUCAAAUCAAAAGUUUUAAAGAAGGAAGACUACCUCCAAAGAACAAGGAAUGCAGUACCAGUGCCCGUUUUUAUGAGUGAAUCUCAAGUGGAAGGUGACAGACAGCAGAACAAACACUAUAAAGCAUAGUGGCUAAGAAGACAAGCUUUGGAAUCCAGCAGGGCAGCAUUCAAAUUCGGCUUCUCUCAUUUAUUAUAGAGAGAUACACAAAUGGAUAAAUACAUAGAUAGAUACCCCACAAGUUUUGGUUCUUCUGUUGUCUGUCAGACACCCAUCAACUGUGUUUCAAAAGGUUGUGCCGUCACAGUCUUCAUUGCUUUGGUGGAUCUGUGUCCACUUGUGACAAGAGCAGUUGUUUAAGAAAGAUGAGCAUUGAGUGUCAGUAUCAGAAGACAAGAGGAGAGCUCUACAGUCUGGAUUGCCGAUGGUCUAAAGUCAAGUUGGUUUCGUGGAUUCCAUAUGAGCUGCAGGUGACUGUAACACAGAUUGAUGAAAGAUUCUGCAGGACGACAAAGGUUAAAGAUGCGGACCCGGAGCUGGAAGCCAGUGCUGACACUGAUGGAGUGCAGCGCAAUGAGAAUGCCCACAUUACUGUCCGCUCCUCUGAUAACCAAUGUAAUAUGAAAACUGACUACAGAAGAAAGGAACAAAUUAAAUCCAUUAAUCAAGCAUAUCUCUGCUAAACAGUUGUUCUAAAGAGAUGAACAAAUGAAAAAUUUACUGUUUGUUUUCAUGCUCACAAGGAUUGGGGAAGAAAAUUAAUUAUAAGUUACUGGACACACUAUUAGUUAAGUUUUUCUUGAGGAAACUAUUUAUUGCUUUGUCAAAGGACAAAUGAACCUCAUUAGGGAGAUUAGUUUCAGCGGGUAGUUUUGCAUUAGGACAAACUAAUAAUACACACUUGGAAAGAUACCCUAAGUAAAAUUACGAAAAUUGAAAAUCCAUUUUUUACUUCUUAAUUUACGAACUGUUCGAAAAUGACUGCUUUAUUACCUAUCAUGAAACCAGAAGGAAAUCGGAUGUAGCUUGACUUUUCACCCAAGUGCCUGAAGGAGAACUAUUUCAGCAGGGGCUCUGUGAGUGUUGCGAUGAUGAACUUAUGUAUUCAGAGGUUAUAACUUGGCCAUGGCAUUUUACUCUUAUGUUGAAGCAUGUCAAGCAGAACGUCACGCCAAAAGCAAUUUUUGAUAAGCUCCUUUGAAAUCCUUUUCUUUUCAAAAUGUUUUAAGUGCCCUGGACAAAUAGCAAGCUGAUGUCUGGUAUUCUGAAUUUCC
Long non-coding RNA from Equus caballus (horse), 1550 nucleotides. The record is from Ensembl. NCBI's taxonomy places the organism in Eukaryota, Metazoa, Chordata, Mammalia, Perissodactyla, Equidae.